RNAcentral lists this unclassified non-coding RNA (2359 nucleotides) under Hevea brasiliensis (rubber tree). The record is from RNAcentral. Lineage: Eukaryota; Viridiplantae; Streptophyta; Magnoliopsida; Malpighiales; Euphorbiaceae.
CUCUGAAAUAAACCAAGCCUCUAUAUAAGGGGUACUAUAUUGUUUUAGGCUAUUAAUUAAUUAGUUGUCUUCCUUUUUCAAAAGCUUCUUGCCUUUUGCCUUCUCCUCUUCAUUUUCUAUAGAUAGUGAAACAGAGAGCUUCCUCCACUUUGUUCAAAACCACAAACGCAAAGCAUUCGUUCUCCACUCUAUCCACAAACUCAAAUUGCUUGAUCCCAUUAGUGACAUGUACUAUCUCAAUGCUCCUCUCUUUCUCUCAUAUGCUUUGGUCAUGUCUCUUGGUCGUCCAUCCCCCUCGUCGUUUAGAGAAGCUUCUAGACUUUUUCUCAUCCCAUCUUGGUCCCCACUUCUGCUCUCAUGAUGCUCUAGUCUACUUCCUUCUUCCUUCUUCAUUUUUCCUCCUCGUCAUUUCACCAUUAGCCAGAACCCAUAUUCUCAUGCUAUGAAACGUUUCUCAUCUUGGUCAUUGAUUCUCUCUCUAUGAACCAAACACAAUCCCUUUGAUUCCUCUCUUGCUAAUUUGUUGUGGCAACAAUGACCAAGGCGAGAUCUAAAACAACCACCACACCCAUUUCGAAGAAGGCCAAGAUUUUUGAAGGAUUUGAGAUAAACUAGUUGAUCAUAAUCAUAGAGGUAAAUUAUUGAAUUUGUUCAUAUAUAAUUAGAGAGAAUUUCAUGUGUUGUUCUUGAUUCUUUGUGUUAUUGUUGUUUGUAAUUGAAAAUUAAUGUAAUUUCAAUUUUUUGAGUUAUUUUGAUGAUUUGAACUAGAAUUUGGGAAUUUGAUUGGGAAUUAGGUAAUUUGCCUCAAGGAUUUGGGAAUUCAAUUGACAUUUGAAUAAAACACUUAAAAUCGACAUACUAAACCAAAUGAAAAUUUUGGUUUUAGUUUAAUUUAAUUUCAUUGAUCAUUUCUAUUUAGUUUGGUUUAAAAAUCUUCAAUAUUAGACAUUGCAGUCCAAUUUGGUUUAGAAUCAAACAAAUCAUUUGCAUAACUCUAGGCAGCAACUGCUGGAUUGAUGGAUGCUACAAUGAUAGACACUUUUAGUGAUAAUAAUUCACAUUUUGGGUUGUAGGGGUAUUAGUUUUUAUUUUAGAAUAAUACCAAAACUCCGAUUAAUAGUAUUAGUCCUCUUAAUCUUAACCAAAAUAGGAAUCCAACUCAAUUGAGGAACAACACUGCAAUUGGAAUUCUACUCUAAUAUAGGAAAUAAUCAUUUGUCCUAUUGUGAAAUAUUUCUCCCAUUUUAUAUGGUUAUUUAAUUAUUUCAAUUAUUUUAUUUAAUUACACAUUGUAAGGAAUAUUUAAUUAGGUCAUGAGCUGAUCUAACACAUAGGCAAAUGCACAGAUUUUGAGUUUUGUUUAUCUUAGCUAAUUUCACUACUUGGAACAUGUUCGGAGUGUCCAAAACCACUAAGAUCCAAGUAAACAUGAAUAUCUUUUGGGAUGGUCUACUGGAUGUCCAAUUUGGCCAAAAACUCAACUUGAGUGUUGAUAUGGUAUUGUCAAUCUGAAUGCACUUUUGAGAUGUCUAGAGGCUAUUGAUGAUGGACCCUAACUCUAUUUGUCAAGACGCUUCUCUAGUUGCCAUAAAUUAAUUGAUUUAAUCUUGAUCGUCUGUGGUUGUUUUUCAUCAACUAAUAUUUGAUCAAGGUACGAUUACUGCAAAAACAAAGCUUGAGGGAUGAGGUUCACGAUCGCUGGCUAUGAUUGUCCAAAUAGAUGGUUAGUUGGCUAGGAUUUGACCGAAAAGCUACAGAUUUCUCUCUCCUCUCCUCAUCGAAAAGCUACUCUUUUUGGCCAUCAAUGGAGGAAUUGUGCAAAUACUCUCCAAUACCAAGUAUUUGCUUUACCUACUAAAAAUUUUGAGAUGUGGCAACUCAUGGCUACACUGUGCACUCUAUUGCACCAUAUGUAAGAAUUUUUUUUAUAUCCUACCAAGUAUUACUUAGAAGCACUAUUUUUUUUCUUCUUUUGAAAAUAUUAACUUUAGGCAACAUGAUAGCUUGUUGAACCGACCAAAUUUAGGUUUAAUAAUAUACAAAAUUUGAACUAAUGCUAACCAUAAACUCGUAUAAGUGAUUUAGGAUUUUAGAUGUUCAAUGUAUUUUCUCAUGUUGCUUCUAUAACUCAUUAGUCAUAGAAGCAGGCAUGUAGCACCUUGCUUGCAUGUCUUUGUCUUUCCACUUUGUUAAAGAGUCAUGUUCCUCUUGAAAAGGCCCUUUAGGUAAGGACCAGGAACUUUCAAGUUGAAAAUGUAUCCUAUACACUAAAAAUUCAAAAUAAACUUUAGAUUCUUGAACUAAUCUAAGAAGUUAGGUCCAAUUAGCCUAUUACUAUCAAGUGUAUACCAGCAAGAAU